UACAGAGGGUGCAAGCGUUAAUCGGAAUUACUGGGCGUAAAGCGUGCGCAGACGGUUGCGUAAGUCUGAUGUGAAAGCCCACGGCUCAACCGUGGAGGGUCAUUGGAAACUGGGGAACUUGAGUGCAGAAGAGAAAAGCGGAAUUCCACGUGUAGCGGUGAAAUGCGUAGAGAUGUGGAGGAACACCAGUGGCGAAGGCGGCUUUUUGGUCUGUAACUGACGCUGAGGCGCGAAAGCGUGGGGAGCAAACAGG
RNAcentral lists this ribosomal RNA (253 nucleotides) under uncultured bacterium. RNAcentral's name for it is "partial 16S ribosomal RNA". It matches the Rfam family "Bacterial small subunit ribosomal RNA", at positions 524 to 776 of the family's 1533-position model. The record is from RNAcentral.